This 530-nucleotide ribosomal RNA is filed under the name marine bacterium SIMO-4498. RNAcentral describes it as "bacterial SSU rRNA". It matches the Rfam family "Bacterial small subunit ribosomal RNA", at positions 70 to 595 of the family's 1533-position model. The record is from RNAcentral.
UAACAGGGAGCUUGCUCCGCUGACGACCGGCGCACGGGUGCGCACCGCGUAUGGAACCUACCUUCUACAGGGGAAUAGCCCAGGGAAACUUGGAUUAAUGCCCCGUGGCACUACAUUAUGGCAUCAUGUUGUAGUUAAAGCCUUCGGGCGGUGGAAGAUGGCCAUGCGUCCCAUUAGCUGGAUGGUAAGGUAACGGCUUACCAUGGCUACGAUGGGUAGGGGCCCUGAGAGGGGGAUCCCCCACACUGGUACUGAGACACGGACCAGACUCCUACGGGAGGCAGCAGUGAGGAAUAUUGGACAAUGGAGGAGACUCUGAUCCAGCCAUGCCGCGUGCAGGAAGAAUGCCCUAUGGGUAGUAAACUGCUUUUAUACGGGAAGAAAAAGGGCUACGUGUAGCCUACUGACGGUACCGUAAGAAUAAGGACCGGCUAACUCCGUGCCAGCAGCCGCGGUAAUACGGAGGGUCCGAGCGUUAUCCGGAAUUAUUGGGUUUAAAGGGUCCGUAGGCGAGUCGGUAAGUCAGGGGG